AUUGAACGCUGGCGGCAUGCUUUACACAUGCAAGUCGAACGGUAACAGGUUAAGCUGACGAGUGGCGAACGGGUGAGUAAUGCAUCGGAACGUGCCCGAUCGUGGGGGAUAACGCCGCGAAAGCUGCGCUAAUACCGCAUACGAUCUGAGGAUGAAAGCGGGGGACCGUAAGGCCUCGCGCGAUCGGAGCGGCCGAUGUCAGAUUAGGUAGUUGGUGGGGUAAAGGCUCACCAAGCCAACGAUCUGUAGCUGGUCUGAGAGGACGCUCAGCCACACUGGGACUGAGACACGGCCCAGACUCCUACGGGAGGCAGCAGUGGGGAAUUUUGGACAAUGGGCGAAAGCCUGAUCCAGCAAUGCCGCGUGUGUGAAGAAGGCCUUCGGGUUGUAAAGCACUUUUGUCCGGAAAGAAAUGGCUCUGGUUAAUACCUGGGGUCGAUGACGGUACCGGAAGAAUAAGGACCGGCUAACUACGUGCCAGCCGCCGCCGUAA
RNAcentral lists this ribosomal RNA (493 nucleotides) under uncultured bacterium. RNAcentral's name for it is "partial 16S ribosomal RNA". It matches the Rfam family "Bacterial small subunit ribosomal RNA", at positions 30 to 523 of the family's 1533-position model. The record is from RNAcentral.